Molecule: ribosomal RNA, 502 nt
Filed under: uncultured bacterium
Lineage: Bacteria
Description: partial 16S ribosomal RNA
Rfam family: Bacterial small subunit ribosomal RNA
Source: RNAcentral
AUUGAACGCUGGCGGCAGGCUUAACACAUGCAAGUCGAGCGGGGUGAUGGUGCUUGCACUAUCACUUAGCGGCGGACGGGUGAGUAAUGCUUAGGAAUCUGCCUAUUAGUGGGGGACAACAUCUCGAAAGGGAUGCUAAUACCGCAUACGUCCUACGGGAGAAAGCAGGGGAUCACUUGUGAUCUUGCGCUAAUAGAUGAGCCUAAGUCGGAUUAGCUAGUUGGUGGGGUAAAGGCCUACCAAGGCGACGAUCUGUAGCGGGUCUGAGAGGAUGCUCCGCCAAACUGGGACUGAGACACGGCCCAGACUCCUACGGGAGGCAGCAGUGGGAAUAUUGGACAAUGGGGGGAACCCUGAUCCAGCCAUGCCGCGUGUGUGAAGAAGGCCUUAUGGUUGUAAAGCACUUUAAGCGAGGAGGAGGCUCUUUUGGUUAAUACCCAAGAUGAGUGGACGUUACUCGCAGAAUAAGCACCGGCUAACUCUGUGCCAGCCGCCGCCGUAA